This is a ribosomal RNA of Prolemur simus (greater bamboo lemur), 117 nucleotides long. The record is from Ensembl. Lineage: Eukaryota; Metazoa; Chordata; Mammalia; Primates; Lemuridae.
GUUUCCAACCAUACCACCCUGAAUGUGCCUGAUCUCCUCUGAUCUCGGAAGCUAAGCAGGGUCUGGCCUGGCUAGUACUUGGAUGGGAGAAAUUCAGAAUCUCAGACCUCUCAGACC